RNAcentral lists this non-coding RNA (29 nucleotides) under Rattus norvegicus (Norway rat). Lineage: Eukaryota; Metazoa; Chordata; Mammalia; Rodentia; Muridae. The record is from RNAcentral.
UGGAAAGUGUGAGUCUCCAAGCACGUUGC